AAUUGACGGGGGCCCGCACAAGCGGUGGAGCAUGUGGUUUAAUUCGAUGCAACGCGAAGAACCUUACCUGGUCUUGACAUCCACAGAACUUUCCAGAGAUGGAUUGGUGCCUUCGGGAACUGUGAGACAGGUGCUGCAUGGCUGUCGUCAGCUCGUGUUGUGAAAUGUUGGGUUAAGUCCCGCAACGAGCGCAACCCUUAUCCUU
Molecule: ribosomal RNA, 205 nt
Filed under: Escherichia coli
Lineage: Bacteria; Pseudomonadati; Pseudomonadota; Gammaproteobacteria; Enterobacterales; Enterobacteriaceae
Description: partial 16S ribosomal RNA
Rfam family: Bacterial small subunit ribosomal RNA
Source: RNAcentral